CAGCCGCCGCGGUAAUACGUAGGGUGCGAGCGUUGUCCGGAAUCAUUGGGCGUAAAGCGCGCGUAGGUGGCCAUUUAAGUCCGCUGUGAAAGUCAAAGGCUCAACCUUUGAAAGCCGGUGGAUACUGGAUGGCUAGAGUACGGAAGAGGCGAGUGGAAUUCCUGGUGUAGCGGUGGAAUGCGCAGAUAUCAGGAGGAACACCAAUAGCGAAGGCAGCUCGCUGGGACGUUACUGACACUAAGGCGCGAAAGCGUGGGGAGCGAACAGGAUUAGAUACCCCAGUAGUCCCUGUCUCUUAUAA
Molecule: ribosomal RNA, 301 nt
Filed under: uncultured bacterium
Lineage: Bacteria
Description: partial 16S ribosomal RNA
Rfam family: Bacterial small subunit ribosomal RNA
Source: RNAcentral